CGGAAAAGUAAUUACUCCACAUCGCAGCCUUCAUAUAUACAUAUGUAAAACAUGUAUAUAAUCAAGCGCCACAAUUAAGCACUCCCCUAGACCGACGGUUGUUCGGUCAUACUCUCACAUCUCACCUUACCUUGAGCGUCGAUCCAUUCAGAACUGAAUGGCCUCAAAAAUAACAAUACACAUGUAUGCAAUACCCACCCGGUUGUGGGUUAGUGGUUUUGAACUAAGCCACCUGAUAGUCCUUAACUUAGGGCUUAAUAGAGGAUGUCGCUAGCAUUAUAGUUUUUUCAAAACUAUUUUUUUUCAAAACCAAACAAUGUGUUUAGUUGAAAAUAGGUUUUCUAAAACCAAAACUUUUGUUUUGAAAAUACGUAUGUGACCGUAUAUACUUAAUCCUGCUCCGAUACCAGCUGUGGCAGAAUCUCCCAAGUUAUUGGGCCCACAUGCACCUGUCCUUGUCUCAAAGACCUCAGACGGCUAUGCAUGUGCACCAAAUAACUUAACAGGAUCCGUCCGAUUGCCCCAAGGACACCGGAUAAACCACUUACAACCAGAACCGCGGGAUUAAGUAACACAAAUCACACACCAAUAUUUUUGCAGCGGAAAUAUUGUUACCAAAUUUUACAAGUUACAAAAAUUUUAUAUUAUUUUAUCGGAGUGAUUGCAAAAGUAUAAGUUUGAAAUACAUGCUAGCUCAAGGGACCAUCCUCAUUAAGAAGUAUAGAAGGGUUACUUAGACUUAUAAGAAGGCCGAGCCCACCGGCACUUAUCACCAUCAUCAGCAACACAAAACUAUGACCUGAAAAACAACAGGGAAUAAAACCCUGAGUAUGGAAUUACUCAGCAAGUCUUACCCGACUAAAGAAAAGACUCUCAAGGGUAUGCUGGAUUUGGGAAUCAAGGAGAGGCUUUAGCAAGAAUCAACUUAGAUACUUUUGCAGAAAAAAGCUUACUAAAGUGAGUCCUUACUUUCAAUAUUUUAAUGCUAGAUUAAAUAUUAAUAGACUCUGUUUGCAUCUGGUCUAAUUUCACCAUCUUAUCAAUGCAACAUCAUUUUUAUUCAUGAGGUUCACAUCCUGACUUAGGUUGCAGGUCAGUGAUCAAGUCUCCACUCUCCGGGGAUAUAACGGCGAUCCGAAUCGAUUUACUCAGCUGAGGAUCUCUAACCACACGACAUAUGUAGCACUUAACCCUUGCAUAUGUCAACCGUUCCCACAGAUCCUCCACAACGUGAACCGGUCCGCGCUACCCGGGAGCACAGUACUCCUCCAUCCAGCCUCUAGCCAGGAGGGCACACGCUACUCCCACCAUCUCCCACGCCCAGUGCGCGGUUGUCUUUUCACGUAUGGAAUAGCCGGGUUCAAGCUUACCCUGUCCCAUUUCCAGGGCAUGUGGCCAGUUAAGAUAGUCCUUGAUCUAUCAGGCCUACAUAUGCAUCCAAUCCUUAAUUGACCUGGACGGAACAUCACCUGUUCCUAGCCCAAGUCCCGAUUUAAGUACUUCCACCCUUAGGAUUGUUUCGUGUUCCUAUGGAUGAAAAGAGCAUUAUAGGGAACUUUGCAGUAAGAUCCCACCAUGCUCCCAAGGAAAAUAUUCUUGCAGGUAGAAGCCACCCUUCCUCAGGAUAACCCUGAGCUAGGCAUAAGUGCAAAGGACAAACUCCACCUGCCUAUAAGCAGGGCUAAGCAUUUUGUUGUAAAUCAUAUUUUGAUACUUCACUAGAAGUAUCUAUAAAGGUAUGGAUAUCAAGGAAGGCAAUGCAUCAAAGGGUUCCAAGCAACUCCUAUAAACCUAAUGCACAUUUCACUAGACUUAAAGUGUGCAAAAAUUAUUUAAAAACACAAGGAAGGGGUUGCAUGCACCGGGGCUUGCCUGGAGUAACACUAGGUUAGUGUUGUUAGGUGGCGACCACUUGGUGACCAUCUCUUGUUCUGAUCUUGUUUCGUCUAUCCAUCUUCAGGGUAGUUCAUUAGCUUCAUCCUGUGGAUUAACCCGCGUUUGGGGUCGACUUGGGUCGUCUUCCGCAUCACACGAUUAUUUAUCGUCCUGAAUGAAGUGCAUUAUGCAUAUGAAUGCAUAUAAAGAAUAAUAACACUAGAUAUUACAAUGCUACACAAAAGAGAAAUAACCUAUUUAAUGACGAGACAUUACGGACACUAGUAUCGAUAUAUUGUUACUUACGACGAUCAUGCUCUUACAACUUAGCUAAAUAGUCGAGGUCACAAUCACCAUCCAUUCCAAUUAUAAAAGCC
RNAcentral lists this long non-coding RNA (2252 nucleotides) under Zea mays. Its description in RNAcentral is "drought responsive lncRNA". Lineage: Eukaryota; Viridiplantae; Streptophyta; Magnoliopsida; Poales; Poaceae. The record is from RNAcentral.